RNAcentral lists this ribosomal RNA (1404 nucleotides) under metagenome. RNAcentral's name for it is "bacterial SSU rRNA". It matches the Rfam family "Bacterial small subunit ribosomal RNA". The record is from RNAcentral.
AGAAUGGUAGCAAUAUCAGUCUGUUCAGUGGCGAACGGGUGCGUAACACGUGGGUAACAUUCCGGGAAGUGAGGGAUAGCCCAGGGAAACUUGGAUUAAUACCUCAUGUGGUCGCAUACCAAAGGCGCAAGCCGCUUCCUGACUGGCCCGCGGCCUAUCAGCUAGUUGGUAAGGUAACGGCUUACCAAGGCAACGACGGGUAGCUGGUCUGAGAGGACGACCAGCCACACUGGAACUGAGACACGGUCCAGACACCUACGGGUGGCAGCAGUCGAGAAUCUUUCACAAUGGGGGCAACCCUGAUGGAGCGACGCCGCGUGGAGGAUAAGGUCUUCGGAUUGUAAACUCCUGUCAUGCGAGAACAAAGCCUCACGGCCUGAUAGUAUCGCAAGAGGAAGAGACGGCUAACUCUGUGCCAGCAGCCGCGGUAAUACAGAGGUCUCAAGCGUUGUUCGGAAUUACUGGGCGUAAAGGGUGCGUAGGCUGCGCGGCAAGUCAGAUGUGGAAUCCAUGGGCUCAACCCGUGAAUUGCAUCCGAUACUUCCGUGCUCGAGAACUGGAGAGGGGUUUGGAAUUCUCGGUGUAGCAGUGAAAUGCGUAGAUAUCGAGAGGAACACCAACGGCGAAGGCAAAACCCUGGACAGUCUCUGACGCUGAUGCACGAAGGCCAAGGGAGCGAACGGGAUUAGAUACCCCGGUAGUCUUGGCAGUAAACGGUGCAUGUUUGGUGUGGGAAGUGACCCUUUCCGUGCCGGAGCUAACGCGUUAAACAUGCCGCCUGGGAAGUACGGUCGCAAGAUUAAAACUCAAAGAAAUUGACGGGGACCCGCACAAGCGGUGGAGUAUGUGGCUUAAUUCGAUGCAACGCGAAGAACCUUACCUGGGCUUGACAUGCACUGUGUCUUUGGUGAAAGCCAGAUAGCGUAGAAAUACGCGCUCUGCACAGGUGCUGCAUGGCUGUCGUCAGCUCGUGUCGUGAGAUGUUGGGUUAAGUCCCGCAACGAGCGCAACCCCUGUGAUUUGUUGCAAACGGCGCAAGUCGUGCACUCGAGUCAGACUGCCCAGAUAAACUGGGAGGAAGGUGGGGAUGACGUCAAGUCCGUAUGGCCCUUACGUCCAGGGCUGCACACGUACUACAAUGCCCAGCACAAGGUGAACCGAAGCUGCAAAGUGGAGGAAAUCCCUAAAACUGGGCUCAGUUCAGAUUGAAGGCUGCAACUCGCCUUCAUGAAGUUGGAAUCGCUAGUAAUGGCGCAUCAGCUACGGCGCCGUGAAUACGUUCCCGGGUCUUGUACACACCGCCCGUCACAUCAUGGAAGCUGGUUUCGCCCAAAGUACCUACAAGUCCAAAGGCAAAGCUGGUGACUGGGAUGAAGUCGUAACAAGGUAGCCGUAGGGGAACCU